GACGAACGCUGGCGGCGUGCCUAAUACAUGCAAGUCGAGCGAAGUUUUUCUGGUGCUUGCACCGGAAAAACUUAGCGGCGAACGGGUGAGUAACACGUAAAGAACCUGCCUCAUAGACUGGGACAACUAUUGGAAACGAUAGCUAAUACCGGAUAACAGCAUUAACUGCAUGGUUGAUGUUUAAAAGUUGGUUUUGCUAACACUAUGAGAUGGCUUUGCGGUGCAUUAGCUAGUUGGUGGGGUAAAGGCCUACCAAGGCGACGAUGCAUAGCCAACCUGAGAGGGUGAUCGGCCACACUGGGACUGAGACACGGCCCAGACUCCUACGGGAGGCAGCAGUAGGGAAUCUUCCGCAAUGGGCGAAAGCCUGACGGAGCAACGCCGCGUGAGUGAAGAAGGAUUUCGGUUCGUAAAGCUCUGUUGUUAGGGAAGAAUGAUUGUGUAGUAACUAUACACAGUAGAGACGGUACCUAACCAGAAAGCCACGGCUAACUACGUG
This 499-nucleotide ribosomal RNA is filed under the name uncultured bacterium. RNAcentral describes it as "partial 16S ribosomal RNA". It matches the Rfam family "Bacterial small subunit ribosomal RNA", at positions 28 to 507 of the family's 1533-position model. The record is from RNAcentral.